UGUGGCCAUAGUGUCACGGGGAGCUGGCACCAGGUGCUGCACAAAGAACGGGACUGGGGCGUGAUCCAAAAAAACUUCUCUCCAAGUCUUCCCAGGCACAAGAUUGUCUUCACAGAGUCAUUACACAUUGUUUAAGCAAUGACACUGAAAAUAAGACCAUGACAAAUGAAAAUUAAAAUCAGUCCAUUUUAAAGAGUUACACGUUCCCUCACUCGAGUCCAGAAGUGGCUGCCCAGAGGACACACACAGAUCCUGUUCCUAUCCUCCAGGCAAACUCAAACAGGAAUUGCUUGCCCUCUGACAAGUGACUCUGUUUUGCACUGUUUCAGAAGAAGAAAGGCUGGGAGAGGAGAUGGACCCACAGUGACUGGGGGACUUUUAGGAUGCCCUGUUACCCUCCUUCCCAAUGACUCCUGGAUUCAGCCAGGCUCCAGCUUUUCACAGCAGCUUCAGCACAAAGCAAAAUACAGGAGCUAAUCCUCAGAGGCAGCAGCUGAAAUAACUGGAGGUCAGACAGCCAGAUCCUGCUGGUAAGCUCUGCUUACUCAACUUUGAGCAAACUGAGACAAGUUCAGCCAAAAGAGAUGCACUGGGAAGGAAGCCUCUGUAUAUUCCCAAGCAGGCAGACAGGAGUGAUUUCCAUUGCUGCCAACAGCCAGAAGAGCACGGGGGAGCUGAGAGCUGCCAAGAGCUGAAGGCAGCAGGGCCCCAGGAGAGCCACAAGCUGCCAGUGAUGGCUGGAGCUGAUCUCCUGAUCCCAAACCAACACAGCAAGCACAUCCAAGGAAAGGCUCUGACACUGCAGCCUUAAAUCCUCCUGCUCCAUUAGUGCCCCAGAAAUCCCAAAGGGUGUGUGACACCUCUGCUGGAGGAGUGCUGCCUGUCCCAGCCAGCUGCCCACAGACUCGCCCUGCAUGACCUGCCCAUGACACUGGAAUGUGCUGGAUGCAUUGUCCCCAGGACACCGUUUGUUGCACAAAAGCAA
This is a non-coding RNA of Taeniopygia guttata (zebra finch), 985 nucleotides long. The record is from RefSeq and is a predicted model, not a curated record. Lineage: Eukaryota; Metazoa; Chordata; Aves; Passeriformes; Estrildidae.